GGAGGGAUGUCCGAGUGGUUGAAGGAGCACGCCUGGAAAGCGUGUAUACGGCCGCAAGCCGUAUCGCGGGUUCGAAUCCCGCUCCCUCCGCCA
Molecule: transfer RNA, 93 nt
Filed under: Gammaproteobacteria bacterium
Lineage: Bacteria; Pseudomonadati; Pseudomonadota; Gammaproteobacteria
Description: tRNA-Ser
Rfam family: tRNA
About the family: Transfer RNA (tRNA) molecules are approximately 80 nucleotides in length. Their secondary structure includes four short double-helical elements and three loops (D, anti-codon, and T loops).
Source: RNAcentral